CCCCAUCCUUCAGCAAGGAGUUUAUAAUAUUCUUCCCUCUGGAAGUCUCUCCGCUUCCUGCUACCCUGUUUUCCAGAAUGAUUAUUCCCCCGCGGCGUAAGCACAAGUGGUGUGUGUAUGGGGGGCAGGUGCACCUCAACAUCUGUCACAUUCCCUCUAGACAGAGAAGGACUCUAGUCUAAUGAGGACUGAAGCCAAACUCAGGUCAAAUACAUUUAUGCCUGGGACGGAGGCUCUGUCUCCGAUGGGAUGUGUGAGAUCCACAAAGGGUUGCAGAACGUCCGUGCUAAACAGGGAGAAGAAAUGUAAAUACAACCAACUACGCAGGCAUCAUGAAAAAUCUUCAGCAUCAUGUAUUUUGUCAAAGAUGCAGGAUCAGAGUGGACAGAAAGUUAGCUAUGGCUCAAGUGGUUAUUAACAGAAAUGUAUGAUAUUAGAAGGUGCACAGAAACCUGGAGUCAUUCUUGCAGUGUGCUCAGACUGCCAGGGAAACAUUCAGGUCCUCGUGCCAGGAGGUGGCAGGGAGCAGAAGAGAUGACUCACUUAGAAUUGGAAUUGCACUAUAAUUCCAGAAUGUCCCAUAUCUGUGGCCAUGUUCAAUUCAGUGAAAAUUUAUACCGUGAUGGGGUUUCCACUACAGCAUCAAAUGCAAGUGAUUUCCAAAUGUACAUUUGGAAUGUUUUUUUCUCCCUUCUGCAUUAAAAUGUCUUCUAUUUUCUAUUUCAGACAUCAAGCCAUGGCAACUGGGGAUCCUGGGGGUCCUGGGGCCAGUGUUCUCGCUCAUGUGGGGGAGGAGUACAGUUUGCUUAUCGGCACUGCAAUAACCCUGCACCCAGAAACAGUGGCCGCUACUGCACAGGGAAGAGGGCCAUCUACCGCUCCUGCAACGUCAUGCCCUGCCCACCUAACGGUAAAUCUUUUCGUCAUGAGCAGUGUGAGGCCAAAAAUGGGUAUCAGUCUGAUGCAAAAGGAGUCAAAACGUUUGUGGAAUGGGUUCCCAAAUAUGCAGGGGUCCUGCUGGGGGACGUGUGCAAACUGACCUGCAGAGCUAAGGGCACCGGUUACUACGUGGUGUUUUCUCCAAAGGUAACUGCACGCCAACUGUCCAGAAGCAGUAGACAUUCUUGCCAGAAAUUAUUUGGUAGAUUGAAGCCUAGAGAUACCAAAUACCAACAGUCAUUAUUUUUUGGCUGACUAGAUUUUGGAGGGUUUUAUUUUCACCUCUGUAGUGUCUAUAUUCGCAAACCUUAUACAAAGAACAACAAUUAUUCUGUAAACAAACAAGUAAAUGUUUUAAAAGCUAUUUUUGAAAAGUCAUAACUCUGUGUCAGGGAAGGUGAGGUGUCACCUUCACUUCAAAAUAGCCGUGAAAACAACUAGAAUUUCCUACGUAUGCUUGUACAGGGCACUGAAAGCAAAAAAAGCUUUCUACUUCUCUAUCAUUUAAUUAAGAAUUCCUUUGGUGAUUUAUGAAGAUAGGUUUCAAGAUCAUCAUCUCUGACCCAGACCUUUAAAUGUCUUGCACCCUUAAUACGAAUCAAUAUCCCUAUCGUUAUACACGUGAUAAUAUAUGCAUGUCAAAUUAUCCCUUAUUUUUCACAGGAGUGCAUUUUCUAAAUUACUAACAGUUUUAUUUCUCACAAUCCAUGUUAUGCAGCAAUUUAAAAUACUGUUUAUCUAAUUUGUAAGCAGAUGCUACGUUUCAAAUCACUUCUAAAAGUGGCCUUCAGAUUUGUAUGAAAUAGGACUGAAAAAUAAUUUCAUGUCCAACUGAAGUAAUUUUUAAAAUACUUUAUCUUUUUAUUGCAAGAUAGUGCAUUUUAGUUUAACAAAUAUGACAAAGAAUAAGAGCAGAACUAUCACCUGGCAAUGCCACAUCUGGAGAGCUGUGAGCCUAUUGAAAUACACCCUACUUCAGUUCACACACACACACACACACACACACACACACACACUCACAUACGCACACGCAUAUGAAGAGUUGUAUAUACACAAAUACAAAACACGUCUGUUUAUUUACACAUAUGACUACAUAUCUU
Molecule: long non-coding RNA, 2039 nt
Filed under: Ursus americanus (American black bear)
Lineage: Eukaryota; Metazoa; Chordata; Mammalia; Carnivora; Ursidae
Description: lncRNA (ENSUAMG00000002473.1)
Source: RNAcentral